RNAcentral lists this ribosomal RNA (517 nucleotides) under uncultured bacterium. RNAcentral's name for it is "bacterial SSU rRNA". It matches the Rfam family "Bacterial small subunit ribosomal RNA", at positions 29 to 518 of the family's 1533-position model. The record is from RNAcentral.
ACGAACGCUGGCGGCGUGCCUAAUACAUGCAAGUCGAACGGUCUUUCUAUGGAAGCUUGCUUCCACUGAGAAGAUAGUGGCGAACGGGUGAGUAACACGUGGGUAACCUGCCCAUAAGAGGGGGAUAACAUCCGGAAACGGGUGCUAAUACCGCAUAGUUUUUCUUGAUCGCAUGAUUGAGAAAGGAAAGAUGGCCUUUGUGCUGUCGCUUAUGGAUGGACCCGCGGCGUAUUAGUUAGUUGGUGAGGUAACGGCUCACCAAGACGAUGAUACGUAGCCGACCUGAGAGGGUGAUCGGCCACAUUGGGACUGAGACACGGCCCAAACUCCUACGGGAGGCAGCAGUAGGGAAUCUUCCGCAAUGGACGAAAGUCUGACGGAGCAACGCCGCGUGAGUGAAGAAAGGUUUUCGGAUCGUAAAACUCUGUUGUCAGAGAAGAACAAGUUGGAGAGUAACUGCUCCAGCCUUGACGGUAUCUGACCAGAAAGCCACGGCUAACUACGUGCCAGCCGCCGC